Molecule: long non-coding RNA, 966 nt
Filed under: Chloebia gouldiae (Gouldian finch)
Lineage: Eukaryota; Metazoa; Chordata; Aves; Passeriformes; Passeridae
Description: Erythrura gouldiae (Gouldian finch) lncRNA (ENSEGOG00005012689.1)
Source: RNAcentral
CCAGACAUGUGGAAAACAUGAGCUGGGGGUGGCUGCAGUGGGGGCAUAGGCUGGCACUGCCACAGUGCCCCCCUCAUACCUGCCCACCCCUGGGAAUCCUAAGGCUGCUAGGGGGCUCACAGUCCUUUGUCCCCUCACCUGGGAGCUUUGUGACUCCACCUUCCUGCCAUCCACUUUCAGUGGCUCCAACUCCUCCUUCAGGGGAGCCCAUCCCUUGUUUUCCCAGCCUGGGUCUGCUGAAGCUUUGUGGGAUGUGCUGGGAUUCUGAGGAGCUGCUCCUCCACGUGCUGCCCACCCCUUGCCCUUCCCGUGGCCCUGCUCCCAGAGGUGUUUGCCCCAUCCCCACACCCCACCCAGCUGCACCAGUCUCAGGGUUGGUGUUCCUGCUCCCAGGAAAGGGGGCAGCCCGAGGGAAAGGUUCAGCACUGGUUCUGUUGGGAGCAGCACCACGGAGAAGCCGGCAGCUCUUGGAAGUGGAGUGUUGGAGGAACAAGAGAGCAUCUGGAUGGGAGUGAAAACCAGUCCUGAGAGCUUCCUGCUGGUUCAGUCUUGGGGACCAAGGAGAUCAUCCUCCCUCAUCCCUCUCUCCUGUGAGCCAGACAUCCCACUCUGCUGGCCUGAUCCUCACAGCAGCAAGCAGCAGUGACUUCAGACCCCAGGGAUAAGGACACCUGAGGGCAGGUGGCACCACUCGACACAUCGCUGGGUUUGUGCCCCUUGGAAAGACAAGAGCUGCAGCGGGAGAUCCACCAGGGCAAGCAGUACUUCAGGCUGCCAAACACUGCUUUCCUGGACACCAGCAGGCCCAUCCCUGCUUCUUCCUGGGGACUGCAGCUCAGGGACUGAGUUUCAUCCCUGCCUGGCCACUCAGCAUUACAGCAUGGAGUGUGUUACACCAGUUCUGAACAUCUCCCGACGGAUCUGAGCUGGUCUCAGCAUCCUCUCCUUGGGCAGAGUGAAAAUUGC